RNAcentral lists this ribosomal RNA (465 nucleotides) under uncultured bacterium. Its description in RNAcentral is "partial 16S ribosomal RNA". It matches the Rfam family "Bacterial small subunit ribosomal RNA", at positions 338 to 795 of the family's 1533-position model. The record is from RNAcentral.
CCUACGGGAGGCAGCAGUAGGGAAUGUUCGUCAAUGGGCGCAAGCCUGAACGAGCGAUGCCGCGUGAGUGAAGAAGGCCUUCGGGUCGUAAAGCUCUGUUGCGGGGGAAAAAAGGCAGCAUCAGGAAAUGGGUGCUGACUGAUGGUGCCCCGCCAGAAAGUCACGGCUAACUACGUGCCAGCAGCCGCGGUAAUACGUAGGUGGCGAGCGUUAUCCGGAAGGAUUGGGCGUAAAGGGUGCGCAGGCGGUCCUGCAAGUCUGGAGUGAAACGCAUGAGCUCAACUCAUGCAUGGCUUUGGAAACUGGAGGACUGGAGAGCAGGAGAGGGCGGUGGAACUCCAUGUGUAGCGGUAAAAUGCGUAGAUAUAUGGAAGAACACCAGUGGCGAAGGCGGCCGCCUGGCCUGUUGCUGACGCUGAGGCACGAAAGCGUGGGGAGCAAAUAGGAUUAGAUACCCUAGUAGUC